Molecule: RNA transcript, 1355 nt
Organism: Mirounga angustirostris (Northern elephant seal)
Lineage: Eukaryota; Metazoa; Chordata; Mammalia; Carnivora; Phocidae
Gene: IAH1
Gene name: isoamyl acetate hydrolyzing esterase 1 (putative)
Exons: 6
Source: RefSeq, a predicted model, not a curated record
CCGCUCGGUCCUCACAUGGCGGGUCGCUUGGGCGCCCACGGCCCCAGCUCACCGGCUGUCCUCCGCACCGGGCUCCCGUCCUCCCGUCUGCCCCGCGGUUAUCAAGGUCACCUCCCUGCACCCCGCCUCCCCCGGCACGGGCUGCCCCGAAGGCGGAGCGCCCGGUGGCGGGAUCUGUUCGGGGAUGCCUGCAGCCUCCAGCAGCAGCCGCCUCCAGCGGCCGUUCGGAGCCCCCCGGCAGGGCUUCCCGUCUCCGGUCGCUCCUGGCUUCAGGGUAACGGUGAGGGUGGCGCCGCGCUUGCACAGCCGUUUCGCGGAGCCUGGUUCACGGGUGAGUUUUCUUUCCAGCAGGGUGGAUGGGGAGCAUCACUGGCUGACAGGCUGGUCAGAAAAUGUGAUGUUCUGAAUCGUGGAUUUUCAGGUUACAAUACCAGAUGGGCCAAAAUCAUCCUUCCAAGAUUAAUCAGGAAAGGGAACAGUCUGGACAGCCCAGUAGCAGUUACAAUUUUCUUUGGUGCCAAUGACAGUGCGCUGAAAGACGAGAACCCCAAGCAACACAUCCCGCUGGCCGAGUACGUGGCCAACUUAGAGAGCAUGGUGGGGUACCUGCAGGAGGCCGGCGUCCCCCGCAGCCGCGUCGUCCUCAUCACGCCGCCCCCGCUCUGUGAGGCCGCCUGGGAGCAGGAGUGCCUCCUGCAAGACGUGGGUGGAGGCCCGGUGGAGAACCACAGACGGUUCAGCAGCCCGGUUCCCGAGCCACAGGCUGCGAGGACGUUCUCGGGAAGACAGGCCCGUCCGUUUCCGCCUCGGCACCGGUGGCGGGGAGGGAGCCGCCCGCCCAGCCCACGAUAGUUGCGGAGAAUGAGCCUCCGCAGCCCCUCCCGGCUCUGCCCUUCUCGGGCUGAACCCCAGUGAGCUUCACUCCAGUGCGGGGGCCUCUCCUCACAUCCAGAUUCAGGGGUCUCGGCCCGGCGUCCCCCUUCCUAGCCUCUGGGUCCCGACGGCUGCCGCCGGCCUCUCCUGCCUCUGCAUUUCCGUUCCGUGUCCCCUGCGGUGACCAGCCACCGUCCCCUCGUCCCCAUGGUCCCGUGCCGGGUAGCGCAGCACACGGGGACCAUCGUCCCCCAACCGGGUCCGGCGGUCCGUGCCUGUGCACCAAGCAUGGCCGGCCCAGGCCAGCUGCCACCCACGCGCUCUCUCAACAGGCUGCAAAUUAAAUCGUCUGAACUCGGUUGUUGGCGAAUACGCGGGCGCCUGCUUACAGGUAGCCCAAGACUGUGGGGUCGAUGUGCUUGACCUGUGGACCCUGAUGCAGAAGGACUCUCAGGACUUCUCAUCCUAUCUGUCGGAUGGAC